This 471-nucleotide long non-coding RNA is filed under the name Elaeis guineensis (African oil palm). RNAcentral describes it as "long non-coding RNA (EGUI_LNC006667)". Lineage: Eukaryota; Viridiplantae; Streptophyta; Magnoliopsida; Arecales; Arecaceae. The record is from RNAcentral.
UCACAUAGUUAAACUUGAGUCAAGAAUAUUUGGGGGUCAAAAGUCAAUUUACCCAUCCGAUGGAUGGGAUGGAGGUGUAGAUACAUCCAUAUCAUCGAAUGAGAUGUGUAGGAAUAAUUUGCUCAAGAAUCGGAGGAGUAUAUCGAAAUAUAUCUCUUUGUACCAAUUUAGGCUUCAAACGGGAGGAAGAUGGCAUCUAGGGGGUCAAAAUUCAAGCUAAAAAUUUGAUGGAUAGGCUGAAGGCAUUUACAGCUUCGUAUCAUCAAAUAAAAUAUAUAAAAAUAAUCCAUUCGAGAAUUAGAAGAGUAUAUCGAAAUAUAUCUUUUUGUGCCGGUUUAGGUUUCAAGCAAGAGGAAAGAAAAAUUCAGUUAGUCAAAAUUUAAGCUAACCAUCUGAUGGACUAGUCGGGGCUAUCUAUAGCUCCAUAUCAUUGAAUGAAAUAUGUGGAAACAAUUUGUUCGAGAAUUAAAA